CUAAGGUGAGCGGUAAGUCCGCUGUAAGUUGUUUCUGGUGUUCCCUUCCAUCGGUAGGCCAGAGCCAGGACGACAAAAACUUGCAGGGCGCGCUCAUUUU
RNAcentral lists this non-coding RNA (100 nucleotides) under unclassified sequences. RNAcentral's name for it is "DUF3800-V RNA". It matches the Rfam family "DUF3800-V RNA". The record is from Rfam by way of RNAcentral.